This 613-nucleotide ribosomal RNA is filed under the name uncultured bacterium. RNAcentral's name for it is "bacterial SSU rRNA". It matches the Rfam family "Bacterial small subunit ribosomal RNA", at positions 869 to 1482 of the family's 1533-position model. The record is from RNAcentral.
CCGCCUGGGGAGUACGGCCGCAAGGUUAAAACUCAAAUGAAUUGACGGGGGCCCGCACAAGCGGUGGAGCAUGUGGUUUAAUUCGAUGCAACGCGAAGAACCUUACCUACUCUUGACAUCCAGAGAACUUAGCAGAGAUGCUUUGGUGCCUUCGGGAACUCUGAGACAGGUGCUGCAUGGCUGUCGUCAGCUCGUGUUGUGAAAUGUUGGGUUAAGUCCCGCAACGAGCGCAACCCUUAUCCUUUGUUGCCAGCGAUUCGGUCGGGAACUCAAAGGAGACUGCCGGUGAUAAACCGGAGGAAGGUGGGGAUGACGUCAAGUCAUCAUGGCCCUUACGAGUAGGGCUACACACGUGCUACAAUGGCGUAUACAAAGAGAAGCGACCUCGCGAGAGCAAGCGGAACUCAUAAAGUACGUCGUAGUCCGGAUUGGAGUCUGCAACUCGACUCCAUGAAGUCGGAAUCGCUAGCAAUCGUAGAUCAGAAUGCUACGGUGAAUACGUUCCCGGGCCUUGUACACACCGCCCGUCACACCAUGGGAGUGGGUUGCAAAAGAAGUAGGUAGCUUAACCUUCGGGAGGGCGCUUACCACUUUGUGAUUCAUGACUGGGGUG